GACAAGCUGUAGCAUACCACAAAUAAUUGUUUAAAGUUCUCAUCUGCAUAAAAGAUAAUUGCAGUUUUCAUGCCUUAAGAAGAACUUAUUUGAAUACUAUUCUUUGCAUGGUUGGUAGAACCAUCUCGAACUGCUUGAUUCGGGGUGUGCUAGACUAUACUGGCCCCGGACCUAGAUGGUUCUGACUUUCAAAACGAGACAAUGGUGAGGAACCAAGGGAGGGAGAAGGAAAGAGGAAAGAGAGAGAGAGAGAGAGAAGGGGAGAUAAGGAAAAGGAGAGGGAGAAAUAGCUUCUGGAGGCUGUCCGAGGGCUACCAAGGCCACCACUGAUGCUGUCGAGGCAGUGGAUAUCAUCCCGAAUUGACAUAGUAGAGAGGGGGAGAGGGAGAAGAAAAGAGAGGAAAGAAAGAGAGAAGGGGAGAGAAGGGAGAGGGAGAA
Molecule: long non-coding RNA, 438 nt
Filed under: Elaeis guineensis (African oil palm)
Lineage: Eukaryota; Viridiplantae; Streptophyta; Magnoliopsida; Arecales; Arecaceae
Description: long non-coding RNA (EGUI_LNC003109)
Source: RNAcentral